GGGGAUAACGUUUGGAAACGAACGCUAAUACCGCAUAAGACCACACUUCCACGUGGGAGAGGGGUCAAAGGAGCAAUCCGCUGAAAGAUGGGCUCGCGUCCGAUUAGAUAGUUGGGGGGGUAACGGCCCACCAAGUCGACGAUCGGUAGCCGGACUGAGAGGUUGAACGGCCACAUUGGGACUGAGACACGGCCCAGACUCCUACGGGAGGCAGCAGUGAGGGAUAUUGGUCAAUGGGGGAAACCCUGAACCAGCAACGCCGCGUGAGGGAAGACGGUUUUCGGAUUGUAAACCCCUGUCCUCUGUGAAGAUAAUGACGGUAGCAGAGGAGGAAGCUCCGGCUAACUACGUGCCAGCAGCCGCGGUAAUACGUAGGGAGCGAGCGUUGUCCGGAUUUACUGGGUGUAAAGGGUGCGUAGGCGGGUAAGCAAGUCAGAAGUGAAAUCCAUGGGCUUAACCCAUGAACUGCUUUUGAAACUGUUUAUCUUGAGUGAAGUAGAGGUAGGCGGAAUUCCCGGUGUAGCGGUGAAAUGCGUAGAGAUCGGGAGGAACACCAGUGGCGAAGGCGGCCUACUGGGCUUUAACUGACGCUGAAGCACGAAAGCGUGGGUAGCAAACAGGAUUAGAUACCCU
Molecule: ribosomal RNA, 633 nt
Filed under: uncultured bacterium
Lineage: Bacteria
Description: bacterial SSU rRNA
Rfam family: Bacterial small subunit ribosomal RNA
Source: RNAcentral